RNAcentral lists this long non-coding RNA (324 nucleotides) under Elaeis guineensis (African oil palm). RNAcentral's name for it is "long non-coding RNA (EGUI_LNC078442)". Lineage: Eukaryota; Viridiplantae; Streptophyta; Magnoliopsida; Arecales; Arecaceae. The record is from RNAcentral.
AUCAUGAUUCAUAAUCAUAAUUUAAUCAUUUGAUCAGUCAAAAAUUUCUUUGUGUAUGAUCCUAUAGGUUCUAUUCUAUCUGAUAGUGAGAUAUAUUAUGAUUUCUAUCAUAAUAUCAUUGAAACUCUUUUCAAUGGGUUGAAACUGUUCUAACUCUGCUCAUCAAGAAUCAUCGAUCAUCAAGAUGAUGCUCGUGGGUCUCAUAAUCCACCAGUGACAUCUAGCAGUAUGUAAUGAUAAUUCAGCAGAAUAAAAGGUGAUGAACCUCUAGGUGUAGUUAACGUAUGAUAUUGUUCCUCUAUCGUGAGUUUCAAUCGAAGGGCA